RNAcentral lists this long non-coding RNA (646 nucleotides) under Monodelphis domestica (gray short-tailed opossum). RNAcentral's name for it is "lncRNA (ENSMODG00000030159.2)". The record is from RNAcentral. Lineage: Eukaryota; Metazoa; Chordata; Mammalia; Didelphimorphia; Didelphidae.
AGAAAAAAGAACAUAGAAUGUUAGCCUACAGAAAGGUCUUGAAUGACAGAAUUCUAGAAUGUAGAAUAUUAGAACUAGAAGAAGCCUGGGAGAUCACUUUGUUCAAACCCCUCAUCUAACUCAAGAAUAGACUGAGGCCAGGAGAGGGAAAGUUUGCCCAAGGGCACAUAGUUAAGUCACUGAUGGAAUUAGGCAGAUGAAGCUAUUUGGACUUAUUUCAAUUCAAUUAAGAAGCACUGCAGGUCUUUGGUCAGAGCCAGCAGAUUCUGUUCUACUAGUGCCUGGGGAACAGGCCUCUUUCCAGUUACAUACUUGGGGCUCUGAGCUUCAGCUCUCAACACAUUCAGCCCUUGAAACUCCAAGGCCCAAGGUCGGUUAAAGGUGGGGAGAACCAGGCUUGGCCAGCCCUGCAAAAAUGAGGAAAUCAGCCAAUUUUGUCUUCAAGGCCUCCAGCUUCCUCUGCCUGGGGAAAAUCAUAGAUCCGAGGAAUGUCAAAACUGCAAGAGAUUUUAGAACACAGAACAGAAAAUAUCAGAGCCUGGAGACCUCAGUCUAUGGAAGUUUAGAGCUGAAAGGAACCUCAGAGGUCAUCAAGUGCCAUGCUUCUCAAAGUGUGGUCCAAGGGCCUGGUGGUCCUGAGUCCUGA